CAAAAAUAAAUGUUAUAAUUACAGUAGAAGUCUGAACCUCUUUUGCACAAGAGGAAAAUGGGACUUGGUGCUUGCUAAAACAUGAAUACUCAUAAAGAUUUUUUCUCCUUUCUUCCCUCCCUCCUUCCCUCUUCCCUUUCUUUUUUCAUAGAAUUUCAAGAGUUAGAAGGCACCUUUUUAAUAGAUGCUAAUACUAGGAGAUUUAUGGUAAUAGGACAGGGACAGCAGGAAACCAGCUAGGGACAAGGCUGGAUCUUAUACUCCACCCCCCACCCCCACUACUUCCUGUCUCUUUCUUAACUGAAUCUAAAGGCUCUUCUCAAAAAUGAUCUCAAGGGCUUCUGGUAUGACGUAUUUGUGACCAAGAGGACCAGCUGCUCCAUCCCACUUAGGAGUCUGAACAAGAGUCUGGCACAACUCCAAGGCAAGACCUGAGAUGAGGAUGCUGGGAACCUUCUCAAAGGGACAAAGCACCAAGGCUAAAGCCUCCUAUAGGCUCCAGGUGGCUCACAGACAGCUGGCUGAAAUAGAUGAGCAUUUUGGCUGCAGUGCAGAAAUCCAGAGCUGCUGGAUGCUCUCCAUUUUUCAAAUAGGGAUUUGUAUCACUUUCAAUACAUUAAUGCUCAAGGAGAAGAGAGGUGGAAGGGUAAGGGGAGAUCGAGUAAAAAAAAAAGAAAGAAAGAAAAGAAAUUGGAUGAAUGAAACAUCUUUCUCUUUUUACCAGAAAACAGAAGCAAGGCCAAAAAGAAGCACACAAAAGUAGCAUGGCUCUGAAAACUAUAGGUUGAACUUAAUAUUUACUUUAAAAUAAAUGCAAA
RNAcentral lists this long non-coding RNA (818 nucleotides) under Monodelphis domestica (gray short-tailed opossum). RNAcentral describes it as "lncRNA (ENSMODG00000030022.2)". Lineage: Eukaryota; Metazoa; Chordata; Mammalia; Didelphimorphia; Didelphidae. The record is from RNAcentral.